CCUACGGGAGGCAGCAGUGAGGAAUAUUGGUCAAUGGUCGGGAGACUGAACCAGCCAAGCCGCGUGAGGGAGGAAGGUACAGUGUAUUGUAAACUUCUUUUGUCAGGGAAUAAAGACUUGGACGCGUCCCCGUUUGAAUGUACCCUAUGAAUAAGCAUCGGCUAACUCCGUGCCAGCAGCCGCGGUAAUACGGAGGAUGCGAGCGUUAUCCGGAUUUAUUGGGUUUAAAGGGUGCGUAGGGGGGUUUUUAAGUCAGCGGUGAAAGUCCGGGGCUCAACCACGGCCUCGCAGUUGAAACUGGAAGACUGGAGUGGGUGAGAGGAAGGCGGAAUGCGGGGUGUAGCGGUGAAAUGCAUAGAUAUCGCGAAGAACUCCGAUUGCGAAGGCAGCUUACCGGGUCCUAACUGACGCUGAGGCACGAAAGCGUGGGUAUCAAACAGGAUUAGAUACCCGGGUAGUC
RNAcentral lists this ribosomal RNA (460 nucleotides) under uncultured bacterium. Its description in RNAcentral is "partial 16S ribosomal RNA". It matches the Rfam family "Bacterial small subunit ribosomal RNA", at positions 338 to 795 of the family's 1533-position model. The record is from RNAcentral.